CAGUCGAGGGGUAAAGGAGCUUGCUCCUUUGAGACCGGCGCACGGGUGCGUAACGCGUAUGCAAUCUACCUUGUACAGGGGGAUAGCCCAGAGAAAUUUGGAUUAAUACCCCAUAGUAUUUUCAGAUGGCCUCAUUUGAUUAUUAAAGUUCCAACGGUACAAGAUGAGCAUGCGUCCCAUUAGCUAGUUGGUGUGGUAACGGCAUACCAAGGCAACGAUGGGUAGGGGUCCUGAGAGGGAGAUCCCCCACACUGGUACUGAGACACGGACCAGACUCCUACGGGAGGCAGCAGUGAGGAAUAUUGGUCAAUGGGCGCAAGCCUGAACCAGCCAUGCCGCGUGCAGGAUGACGGUCCUAUGGAUUGUAAACUGCUUUUGUACAGGAAGAAACCCUCCCUUGUAAGGGAGCUUGACGGUACUGUAAGAAUAAGGAUCGGCUAACUCCGUGCCAGCAGCCGCGGUAAUACGGAGGAUCCAAGCGUUAUCCGGAAUCAUUGGGUUUAAAGGGUCCGUAGGCGGUUUUAUAAGUCAGUGGUGAAAUCUGGUCGCUCAACGAUCAAACGGCCAUUGAUACUGUAAGACUUGAAUUACUUGGAAGUAACUAGAAUAUGUAGUGUAGCGGUGAAAUGCUUAGAGAUUACAUGGAAUACCGAUUGCGAAGGCAGGUUACUACGAGUAUAUUGACGCUGAUGG
RNAcentral lists this ribosomal RNA (693 nucleotides) under Flavobacterium columnare. RNAcentral's name for it is "bacterial SSU rRNA". It matches the Rfam family "Bacterial small subunit ribosomal RNA", at positions 59 to 752 of the family's 1533-position model. Lineage: Bacteria; Pseudomonadati; Bacteroidota; Flavobacteriia; Flavobacteriales; Flavobacteriaceae. The record is from RNAcentral.